AGCUAGAUGAACCAGUCUUUUGACGUGGUAUAAGGAAGCUUCCUGUGCUCCGGUGCUACUGCAAUCAAAAUACCAGCAUCAAACUAAAGAACUUGGACUGCAUUGGAGUUUUAUUUUGAUUGAUACAAACCAUAGCGGACAAGGAAGGAUAUGCAAGAUGAGCUUUUAACCAUCGGCCGGGAGAAAUAAAUGUGGCUGCAUGAGUUCUGAUGCACAGGAGGCAGGCAUGAUUAAAAGAACGGGGCAUCUAGUUAUCAAGAAAAGAACCUUCAU
Molecule: long non-coding RNA, 273 nt
Organism: Lacerta agilis (Sand lizard)
Lineage: Eukaryota; Metazoa; Chordata; Lepidosauria; Squamata; Lacertidae
Exons: 3
Source: RefSeq, a predicted model, not a curated record